RNAcentral lists this ribosomal RNA (639 nucleotides) under uncultured bacterium. RNAcentral's name for it is "bacterial SSU rRNA". It matches the Rfam family "Bacterial small subunit ribosomal RNA", at positions 202 to 844 of the family's 1533-position model. The record is from RNAcentral.
UAAAGAUUCAUCGCUGAUAGAUAGGCAUGCGUUCCAUUAGGCAGUUGGCGGGGUAACGGCCCACCAAACCGACGAUGGAUAGGGGUUCUGAGAGGAAGGUCCCCCACAUUGGUACUGAGACACGGACCAAACUCCUACGGGAGGCAGCAGUGAGGAAUAUUGGUCAAUGGGCGUAAGCCUGAACCAGCCAAGUCGCGUGAGGGAUGAAGGUUCUAUGGAUCGUAAACCUCUUUUAUAAGGGAAUAAAGUGUGGGACGUGUCCUGUUUUGUAUGUACCUUAUGAAUAAGGAUCGGCUAACUCCGUGCCAGCAGCCGCGGUAAUACGGAGGAUCCGAGCGUUAUCCGGAUUUAUUGGGUUUAAAGGGUGCGUAGGCGGCCUUUUAAGUCAGCGGUGAAAGUCUGUGGCUCAACCAUAGAAUUGCCGUUGAAACUGGGAGGCUUGAGUAUGUUUGAGGCAGGCGGAAUGCGUGGUGUAGCGGUGAAAUGCUUAGAUAUCACGCAGAACCCCGAUUGCGAAGGCAGCCUGCCAAGCCAUGACUGACGCUGAUGCACGAAAGCGUGGGGAUCAAACAGGAUUAGAUACCCUGGUAGUCCACGCAGUAAACGAUGAUCACUAGCUGUUUGCGAUACAGUGUAAGC